Molecule: non-coding RNA, 679 nt
Organism: Microcebus murinus (gray mouse lemur)
Lineage: Eukaryota; Metazoa; Chordata; Mammalia; Primates; Cheirogaleidae
Source: RefSeq, a predicted model, not a curated record
UGUCACCUGUGGGCAAAGGCAAUUAGUUGCUGCUGUGCUUCCUCCGUCUCUCUUUUUGCCUUUGCCACAGAGACCUUGGAGCCAAAUAUUCUAGGAAGAGUGGGGCCGAUGACCCACAUCUGACUUUUUCUUAGCAAUUCUAGCCCUACAGAUCCCUAACAGCCGAUCAUCAAUGCGAACAAGUUGAAGAAAAAUUCGUCACCCCUGCCAAGACUUGGAUGCAGCUACGCAAGACACAUCAAUCAAUGGAGUGAAGUGGACAAGACUGGCAACUUCUUGGCUGACCUUGAAAUGUUUAAGGGGUAGUUUUGGCAACUUGUGCACCCCAAAUCUACUCCAAAGUAAAGCUGCCCAUAGAGCUGUCAACAAACCCAUUAGUAAUUUAGUCUAUCUAGCUCUAAAUAGACUGGGCUGGUACCUGUGUAUAUAUCUCCUGUGUUUACCUAGGUGGAACCUUCAGCCUUUUGGGAGUAGUAGUGAGAGCUGAAGAGGAUGUAGUCUUGUUCUCAUCCUUGCAGGGAUAUUGAUGUUAAGUAGAUGCAUUUCUGCUGGAUCAAAGUUGACUUUUCCUACUUAUUUUCUUUUUAAAAACCAAGUACCCCAGCCAUAUCACAAAGAGAAUGUUUUUCUCUGACUAGAUUUUUGAUAGGCCUUUAUGAUUAAAAUUAGCUGCCUUUGA